ACUAGGCAAGAGUUGUACACCAGAGCUGUUGCUGCCUCCAACGUCAUUUUAGAGAAUUUGGCAGUAUGUCCAACCAGCCUCACAACUUCAGACCAUGUGUAACCACGCCAGCCCAGGACCUCCAACAAUUCAUAACAGCUAUGAGGGGCUUAGCUACAAAACAGGUGCUAACUACGAACCUAUAACAUGCUUCCAGACAAAUUCAAGAGCCAAGUCUUUCAUCUUCUCCAUGUAGAUCUGGUCAAAUUCCUCACUCUGGGCCACAGUGAACAUAGUCUGCCAGUCCCCAACCUUCCCUGAUGGUGCCUAGGAGAGGAUGGCUAGGCUGACACAUCCAUCAUCUUCUUCGGUGUUGAUAUACUCAUGUGGGGUAUCUAUUUGUGACAUCAUGCCACUCCUUGGUAGCCUGGGUACCAGUCUGUUUGUGACAUCAUGCCACUCCUUGGUAGCCUGGGUACGAGUCUGUUUGUGACAUCAUGCCACUCCUUGGUAGCCUGGGUACCAGUCUGUUUGUGACAUCAUGCCACAACUUGCAAAACAUUAAAAUAUUGGUCACUAUGAACUAUUUCUGUAUUCAAAAACCAGAUGUCAAUGAGUAAUUCAGACCAUGUUUUACAAAUAAAUCUGUGAAUGCCAUUCAAAGCAGGCGUUAAAUUGUCUUGAUAAAGAAGACAUGCUUUCACCUUUCACCUUUCUGCUUCUCCAGAACAACCACUUUACUCUCACACAGACCUCUCUCUUUCUCUCUCUCUCUGUUUAGGCGAGUUCACAGGUCAGUGCUUUCAACUCCCUGCCCUGAAAGUUCACUGACAUACAGUAUACUCCGUCAGCUAAGGACAAUCAUUACGGUGAUACUAACUGAAGGUUAAGUGAUCCCCUAUGACUCUAGUAUGCCUUGUCACUUGUCAAAGGGAGAAACCUGUAAAGAGAACACAAUGUAUUGUACUAUGAGUACCACACCUAGUUUUACAAUAGAUACAGUACGUAAUGUGCUUCCUCCAGUAGCCUAGAGCAAGUACACCACGUUUUACGAUCAGUGCAAAUAAAAACGUAUUUCUCCACAAUGGAAUGUUUGAGUAUCGUGUCUGAGCUAGCUUCUUUCAGACAUGUGAUCAUGUUAAAAUUGAGUGACAGAGGAACUCACUUGUGCAGACGAGACACAGGUUCAGCUUUUGUAACAGUACAAUAACAACACUUUAUAUAACGAUGAACUGUAUGUGCGGAUGCGGCAUGUGCCUCUUAGCAGGUGAAACAAUAACAAAGUGUUUUUUCGCCACCCGUGUUGGUAAAAAGCUGAGGGAUGGGGCUGGAGAAAUGUAACCACUCUCAAAUUCAUAGACUGAGCUAUGGAUGUAAGACUGACCAUCCAUGAUAUACAAAGUAUAGUUUUAACCAUGUUUUGAGGCUAUAUAGUGUUUGUUUAUGUUUGCUUUGUUUAAAAACAUUGGAGUUAAACAAGCUUAUAUUUUGGGGGUUCUGAUGGGGUACGACAGUUGAACUAAGCUCAUGAAGCAUUUCUAAGUUAUAUUCUUAAAGAAUCAAAUGGGUGCAUAUGAUAAAUUUAUCAAAAAUACAUGUAGAAAUUGCAGAUUGGGUAGGUGCGUAGAAGCCUUUAAGCUAUAAAAAUCACAUGUUGUGGUCCUAUCAAAAAAUAAUUAGGCAGGAUUCCAUCCAAGUGGUGUUGUAGAGCGUUGUCAAUAUAACAGUAUAACUUUAUACCGUUCCCUCGCCCAUACCCGGGCGCGAACCAGGGACCCUCUGCACACAUCAACAACACGAAGCAUCGUAGUGUUUGUUGAGAUCGCAAUCAGAGUAAGCGCUGCAAAAUACCUUAAAAUGUCAAUCGCUCUAGAACGCACCUCGGGUUGAAUCCCGGCAUUACUAUAGUUAUAAAAACAAGGCGAUUUCCUGUAUUCUGUAUAUUGUGAGAAUCCAUAUGUCAAAAACAGCAAGAUUCACAAACCUUUAAAUAUAUUUAGGUUUUUAUUUAAAAUGUUUGCAUAAAACAAUGAAAUGAUUAAUUGACUGUAUCCCAUACCACAAUUCCAUGUACACUGAAGAAAAGAAGAAACAAAAGCUCACAGCAGGGAACUAAAACCUGUCACAAAUCAAUGAUCUGGAAUUAUACACUGUUCUCUCAUUGCUGCACACAAGUAGAUUUUUAAAAUGUUUUAUGGUUAUUUAUUAGAUAGUGGCAGAUCACAACGUCUUUCUACUCUUCUACUUCUGACUGUAAAUAUUUGUAUUUGAUUUUGAGACUAGAUAUAUUCGUGUAUGUUUUUUGUACUACUUAAAAUGCAUUUUUAUUGUAAGGUCUCAAACGGACGUGGCUGUAUAGCCAAGUAUGAAUUCCAGCUUUAAUGUUAUUGAAAAAAACAAGACCCAUAGGGCAUCUACUUCACUAGCGUACUAGCUAGAUAGUUAGCUGUGACCCACCAUAAUGGCACACAGUGCCAAUAAAACUCUUUAUGCCAUAACUCAUCUUGAUACAUAGACCUCAGAACACAUCAUACAUAUGUAAAUGCAUACAUCGAUUUUUUUCUUUUCUUAUAUUGUGUUAUUUGACUGUUCGUUUGUCUAUGUGUAACUCUGUUGUUUUUGUCGAACUGCUUUGCUUUAUCUUGGCCAGGUUGCAGUUGUAAAUGAGAACUUGUUCUCAAUUGGCCUACCUGGUUAAAUAAAGGUGAAAUAAAAAUAUAAAAAUAC
Molecule: long non-coding RNA, 2706 nt
Organism: Oncorhynchus nerka (sockeye salmon)
Lineage: Eukaryota; Metazoa; Chordata; Actinopteri; Salmoniformes; Salmonidae
Exons: 3
Source: RefSeq, a predicted model, not a curated record